AUACACUUCCAGAGAAAAUUCAGACUUUGAGCUGGAGUUUAUCCCUGAUCUGAAGAUUGGCUUCAAGAGUUGUUCAUCAAGAGGAGUGAAUCACAGUCACUAAAGGCACCUUCCUGUGACAUUUUGGAUGGCUCCUGGAAUAAAUUUCUACCACUGAGGAACCUUGCUGGUGAGGCAGAAGUCUCUGUCUCCACAGAGAAAAAGCCAAAAGAAGGGAGUUGUGCAUCUACUUAGAAUAAGAGAAAACGGUUUCCAGAUGGCUAAUGAAUGGUUAGGUUUCUCCGUCACAUGGCAACAAGUCUUACUUCCUCAAAUGCUGGUUCUAAGGACUACUGUGAAAUCCUACUAUUGAGAUUCAUCUAGAUCCAAUUCCAUCUCAUUAUUGUGGAGAUACGGUGCAGAGAACAAUACAUGAAUAAAUACAACUGGAUUCUGCUCUACUGA
This is a long non-coding RNA of Homo sapiens (human), 444 nucleotides long. NCBI's taxonomy places the organism in Eukaryota, Metazoa, Chordata, Mammalia, Primates, Hominidae. The record is from Ensembl.